Long non-coding RNA from Acipenser ruthenus (sterlet), 186 nucleotides. RefSeq lists it as uncharacterized. The record is from RefSeq and is a predicted model, not a curated record. The transcript has 2 exons. Lineage: Eukaryota; Metazoa; Chordata; Actinopteri; Acipenseriformes; Acipenseridae.
AUUUCUUUUCAUCUGCGUCAAAAGGUCCCAUUAUCCUGAUUCUUCCUCCAGUCGCACAGGGUGAAGGAGAAGGCGUGCAGUAGAGGAGGAGAAUCGCGCGCCUGUUUAAAAGCAGAGGCUUCUUGUUGGAACUGCAAUUCCUCUAAUGUAGUCUAGAAACAAAUAAAAUAGGAAACAUCUUCCCUC